This 460-nucleotide ribosomal RNA is filed under the name uncultured bacterium. RNAcentral describes it as "partial 16S ribosomal RNA". It matches the Rfam family "Bacterial small subunit ribosomal RNA", at positions 338 to 795 of the family's 1533-position model. The record is from RNAcentral.
CCUACGGGUGGCUGCAGUGAGGAAUAUUGGUCAAUGGACGCAAGUCUGAACCAGCCAUGUCGCGUGCAGGAUGACUGCCCCACGGGUUGUAAACUUCUUUUGUAAAAGGGUAAACCUGAAUACGUGUAUUCAGCUGAAUGUACUUUACGAAUAAGGAUCGGCUAACUCCGUGCCAGCAGCCGCGGUAAUACGGAGGAUCCAAGCGUUAUCCGGAUUUAUUGGGUUUAAAGGGUGCGUAGGUGGGUUGUUAAGUCAGGUGUGAAAGGUCCGAGCUUAACUGGGGAAUUGCAUCUAAUACUGUUGAUCUAGAGAGCAGAUGCGGUAGGCGGAAUGUAUGGUGUAGCGGUGAAAUGCUUAGAGAUCAUACAGAACACCGAUUGCGAAGGCAGCUUACCAAGCUAUAUCUGACGUUGAGGCACGAAAGCGUGGGGAGCAAACAGGAUUAGAGACCCUUGUAGUC